CCUACGGGUGGCAGCAGUGAGGAAUAUUGGUCAAUGGCCGGAAGGCUGAACCAGCCAAGCCGCGUGAAGGACGAAGGUGCCAAGCAUUGUAAACUUCUGUUGUCAAGGGACAAAAUCAGGCGCGAGAGCAGGACCGAGGGGACGGGAAGAAAAAGCAUCGGAUAACUCCGUGCCAGCAGCCGCGGUAAUACGGAGGAUGCGAGCGUUAUCCGGAUUUAUUGGGUUGAAAGGGUGCGUAGGCGGACUGUUAAGUCAGCGGUAAAAGCCCGGGGCUCACCCCCGGCGAGCCGUUGAAACUGGCUGUCUUGCGCUGUCGAGAGUUAUGCGGCAUG
RNAcentral lists this ribosomal RNA (332 nucleotides) under uncultured bacterium. RNAcentral describes it as "partial 16S ribosomal RNA". It matches the Rfam family "Bacterial small subunit ribosomal RNA", at positions 338 to 668 of the family's 1533-position model. The record is from RNAcentral.